Beta vulgaris subsp. vulgaris (sugar beet) is the source of this 995-nucleotide long non-coding RNA. RefSeq lists it as uncharacterized. The record is from RefSeq and is a predicted model, not a curated record. Lineage: Eukaryota; Viridiplantae; Streptophyta; Magnoliopsida; Caryophyllales; Amaranthaceae. The transcript has 3 exons.
AACAGUAGUUGCUCUUGUCAUUAUCUUAUUUAUUUAAUUAUUUAUUUAAACAAAUAUUUGAUAAAUAAUUUUAUAAAAUCCAAAAUUCAUUUUUGGGUAAUAAAAUUAGAUUAUACAUUUUAGUAUGUAAUUUUCGGAUUUUUUUUAAGUGUUGUUUUGAAAAAAAUCGAUUUCUUUAAAUAAAACCGAAAACUUUAAAUAUUUAAAAUAUUUUGUUAAAUCUUAUAAAAUCAGAUUUUUAUGAGAUUUAUAUUGAGUUAGAAAGUAUGGGAUUUUAAUUGAUUUGGCAAGAUUUAACAAUCUCUUUAAAAUCAAACAAAAUUGAUUUUAGGAAAGAAUUUUUAAAGGGAAGAGUUUUUAUAAAAAACAAAAAAACAAAAAAAUAUUUUUGCUGCAUUCUACAGCUGCUGCACGCAGCUUUGUAGGAUGUUGCAAAAUUUUUAAAGUUCUUUUGCCCUAAUUUUAAUAAUUCAGGAAAGUUUUACCUCUUUUCUACCCUAGUUUACACUAUAAAUACCCCUCUAAUCCUUCACUUUCUCUUCACAAAAAAAUAUUGAGAGUUCCUUAUAAAGUUUUCCCUAAAGUGAGUGGUCUCUUUGAGUAGUUUUAGUUUUUCACCGAGGAGUUUUAGCGGGAGGUUUUGAGGAUUUCGUUCGUGAACAUUCCCUUACUAGUUGAUUUUCUUAUUUCGUGAAUUAUCAAGAUGCUUGAGUUUGUAAGGGAUACUUACUAUGAUGCCGCCUAUUUUAAGAGGCAUUAUCACACUAUAGCAUUCUUUAUUCAAGGAAUUCAUCUUUAUGCGAAGUUCUUAGUUUCACAAGGAAGAAGAGAAAUGAGGACUGACCCUUGGAAAAUUCUUCUAACUCUUAUUCACUUACCUAGAAUUCCAAAGUAUGAAAAUCUUUUUAGGAAAUAUGAGGAUGUACUAUUGAAUGAAAAUGAGUGGAAUAAGCAUGAACACGUGCAUGAAGGGGUAUGGAUAGCUGAUAUGUUGA